This is a regulatory RNA element of Flavobacterium psychrophilum JIP02/86, 33 nucleotides long. It matches the Rfam family "DUF805b RNA". Rfam says of the family: Bacteroidetes, Chlorobi (1 example), Proteobacteria. NCBI's taxonomy places the organism in Bacteria, Pseudomonadati, Bacteroidota, Flavobacteriia, Flavobacteriales, Flavobacteriaceae. The record is from Rfam.
AAUGCGGUAACCGAAAAGCAAAUAGAGUAGGUA